AGUGAACGCUGGCGGUAGGCCUAACACAUGCAAGUCGAACGGCAGCACAGUAAGAGCUUGCUCUUACGGGUGGCGAGUGGCGGACGGGUGAGGAAUACAUCGGAAUCUACUUUUUCGUGGGGGAUAACGUAGGGAAACUUACGCUAAUACCGCAUACGACCUACGGGUGAAAGCAGGGGAUCUUCGGACCUUGCGCGAUUGAAUGAGCCGAUGUCGGAUUAGCUAGUUGGCGGGGUAAAGGCCCACCAAGGCGACGAUCCGUAGCUGGUCUGAGAGGAGGAUCAGCCACACUGGAACUGGGACACGGUCCAGACUCCUACGGGAGGCAGCAGUGGGGAAUAUUGGACAAUGGGCGCAAGCCUGGUCCAGCCAUACCGCGUGGGAGAAGGAGGCCUUCGGGUUGUAAAGCCCUUUUGUUGGGAAAGAAAAGCAGCAGGUUAAUACCCCGCUGUUCUGACGGUACCCAAAGAAUAAGCACCGGCUAACUUCGUG
This 492-nucleotide ribosomal RNA is filed under the name uncultured bacterium. Its description in RNAcentral is "partial 16S ribosomal RNA". It matches the Rfam family "Bacterial small subunit ribosomal RNA", at positions 29 to 507 of the family's 1533-position model. The record is from RNAcentral.